Molecule: long non-coding RNA, 1132 nt
Filed under: Coturnix japonica (Japanese quail)
Lineage: Eukaryota; Metazoa; Chordata; Aves; Galliformes; Phasianidae
Description: lncRNA (ENSCJPG00005017028.1)
Source: RNAcentral
UCUGGGACAAUGCAAAUCAUAAAGACUUCUAAAGCAAUUAAUGGAUUCAGCCCCAUUUACAUCAAAGUUCCAGUUCUGAUUUAUGCACUGCCAUGACAGCAGUGCUCCUCUGGGACAAGGCAGCUAACAAAAUCCCAAAGUUGCACAUAAAUGCUGGGAACAUCUUCAACUAAGUGGAUCUUAUAAAGGGACAAUCUUUUACACUGGGACAGCCUUCCAAACAGGAGUUAAACAGACAUUUAGUUCUCCAGGAAAAACAGUCAAGCCUUAAGAGAAAUGCUUUUCCCACACAGUUUAAGCUUCUGGACCUUAACUGUCUACCUGUUCUGAACCAUAAAUGUUCACCUACUUCCUGAUUAGAACCAAAAAAGAGAUGUAACCCAAAAAGGAAGGCUUGCCAAAGACUUAAGGAAAUGCACCAGUGACUCCUCUCAUGAUUUCUCAUGAAAAAAAAAGAAAAAUGGAUGAUGACUUAAAAUUGUUGAGCAGGGGAGAAGCUUCAUGGCCUUGCGUGAAUGUAGAAGGAAACACUGAACAUGUUAGACAGUCUUCCUUGGGGCCCUUGAGCAGCUGCAGUUGUGCCACAUCCAAAAGAAGUGAUUAGAGCCUGCUUGACAUGUGGAAUAUUGUCUGCCCAAGCUGGGUUCCCUCCCAUUAUUAGUAGACUGAUAUAAGACUUGAUAGUUAUUGUGAAUAUUGAGCACUUUCAUGGGGCUGUGAGUAUAAUGGUGGGGCAUGAUCAUCAUCAUCAUCAUCACAACAAUAAUAACAAAGAAAAAAAAUAACAACAAAGCCAACAAAAUCUACUGUUUGAAAAUUAAGUUAUGUGGCCAGAUCACGCAGAUCUAAGAGAACACAGGAAGUUUGUAGUGUGUAAUGGUGUGAAAUGCUUUUUUUAAAGGAAAGAAAUUAACUGUCGUUACUAGAGAAGGAAAGUGGUGUGAAUAUGAGCAGCUCAUUGAUAUGUACAAACAUGAACACAGUCAAAAAUUAGAGUUGCCACUGAGAGAACAGAAGUUUUACUUAGAAAUAUUAUUUAAAUCUAUGAAAGCUCACUAGCUGUCAGAAUUCAAUGUUUUUCCUCUCUUCGCUGCAUUUGGUAAUAAUAAAAACAUAUUUUCAGAAGAUUGCA